UGCCUCUCCCGCACCUUGUUUGCUUU
This 26-nucleotide non-coding RNA is filed under the name Mus musculus (house mouse). The record is from RNAcentral. Lineage: Eukaryota; Metazoa; Chordata; Mammalia; Rodentia; Muridae.